Molecule: unclassified non-coding RNA, 1472 nt
Filed under: Hevea brasiliensis (rubber tree)
Lineage: Eukaryota; Viridiplantae; Streptophyta; Magnoliopsida; Malpighiales; Euphorbiaceae
Source: RNAcentral
UCCGCACUGAUGAAAUCAGAAGGACUCCUCCAACACCACAAGAUGAAAUGAGAGCUGGAAUGAGCUAUUUCCAUGAAACAAUUUGGAAGGGUGUGCCAAAGUUUCUGCGUCGUGUUGAUACAGCUCUUAAAAACAUAGGGAUUGAUGAACGAGUUCCUUAUAAUGCUCCUCUUAUUCAAUUCUCCUCUUGGAUGGGCGGUGAUCGUGAUGGUAAUCCAAGAGUGACUCCCGAGGUCACAAGAGAUGUUUGCUUAUUGGCAAGAAUGAUGGCAGCUAACUUGUACUAUUCGCAAAUAGAGGACCUCAUGUUUGAGUUAUCUAUGUGGCGCUGCAGUGAAGAGCUUCGUGUGCGAGCAGAUAAACUCCAAAGGUCUUCAAGGAGAGAUGAAAAACACUACAUAGAAUUUUGGAAGCAAGUUCCUCCAAAUGAACCCUAUCGUGUAAUUCUUGGUGAUGUGAGAGAUAAGUUGUAUCAGACACGCGAGCGUGCUCGCCAACUGUUAGGCCAUGGAUACUCUGAAAUUCCAGAGGAAGCAACUUAUACUAAUAUUGAGCAGUUCUUGGAGCCUCUUGAGCUCUGCUACAGAUCUCUUUGUGCUUGUGGUGAUCUCUCCAUAGCGGAUGGUAGCCUUCUGGAUUUCCUUAGACAAGUUUCUACGUUUGGACUUUCACUAGUGAGACUUGACAUAAGACAAGAGUCGGACCGCCAUACUGAUGUGCUUGAUGCUAUUACGCAGCAUUUGGAAAUUGGUUCAUAUCGAGAAUGGUCUGAAGAACGUAGACAAGAGUGGCUUCUGUCUGAACUCAGUGGCAAGAGACCUUUAUUUGGACGGGAUCUUCCAAAAACUGAAGAAAUUGCUGAUGUUUUGGAUACGUUCCAUGUCAUAGCCGAACUCCCAGCAGACUGCUUUGGGGCAUACAUCAUCUCAAUGGCCACUGCACCAUCUGAUGUGCUUGCUGUUGAGCUUCUACAGCGUGAAUGCCACGUGAAGCAACCUUUACGGGUAGUUCCACUUUUUGAGAAAUUGGAUGAUCUGGAUGCUGCUCCUGCUGCUAUUGCACGUCUUUUUUCAAUUGAGUGGUACAAAAACCGCAUUAAUGGGAAGCAAGAAGUCAUGAUUGGCUACUCAGACUCUGGAAAGGAUGCUGGUCGGCUGUCGGCAGCAUGGCAGCUAUAUAAGGCUCAAGAGGAGCUUAUAAAAGUUGCCAAACAAUAUGACGUGAAGCUAAUUAUGUUCCAUGGCAGAGGUGGUACAGUUGGAAGAGGAGGUGGUCCUAGCCAUCUUGCUAUAUUAUCUCAGCCACCUGAUACGAUUCAGGGAUCUCUUCGCGUAACAGUUCAAGGUGAGGUUAUUGAGCAAUCAUUUGGGGAGGAACACUUGUGUUUUAGGACACUCCAACGUUUCACUUCUGCCACCCUAGAACAUGGAAUGUAUCCACCUUUCCCCCCAAAGCCAGAAUGGCGUGCACUU